RNAcentral lists this ribosomal RNA (305 nucleotides) under uncultured bacterium. Its description in RNAcentral is "bacterial SSU rRNA". It matches the Rfam family "Bacterial small subunit ribosomal RNA", at positions 333 to 635 of the family's 1533-position model. The record is from RNAcentral.
ACUGGCCUACGGGACGCAGCAGUGAGGAAUAUUGGUCAAUGGACGCAAGUCUGAACCAGCCAUGCCGCGUGCAGGAUGACGGCUCUAUGAGUUGUAAACUGCUUUUGUACGAGGGUAAACCCCGAUACGUGUAUCGGGUUGAAAGUAUCGUACGAAAAAGGACCGGCUAAUUCCGUGCCAGCAGCCGCGGUAAUACGGAAGGUCCGGGCGUUAUCCGGAUUUAUUGGGUUUAAAGGGAGCGUAGGCCGGCUUUUAAGUCAGCUGUGAAAGUCCGCGGCUCAACCGUGGAAUUGCAGUUGAAACUG